RNAcentral lists this transfer RNA (74 nucleotides) under Candidatus Velamenicoccus archaeovorus. RNAcentral describes it as "Velamenicoccus archaeovorus tRNA". It matches the Rfam family "tRNA". Rfam says of the family: Transfer RNA (tRNA) molecules are approximately 80 nucleotides in length. Their secondary structure includes four short double-helical elements and three loops (D, anti-codon, and T loops). RNAcentral also lists the same sequence under 2 other names. Lineage: Bacteria; Pseudomonadati; Candidatus Omnitrophota. The record is from Rfam by way of RNAcentral.
GGGCGCGUAGCUCAGUUGGUUAGAGUACUUCCUUGACAUGGAAGGGGUCACAGGUUCGAGUCCUGUCGCGCCCA